CUUUUGGUGCUCAGGCGUGCCCUAGAUCAAUAUAAUCAGAAUCGCUGGGGGUUGGGGACCAGGCCUCAGUGUUUUUAAAGCUGUCCAGAUGAUCGUAUGUGCAGUCAGGGUCAAGCACCAGCCCCUUAGAGAUGAGGUAGUACAAGGAAGGAGAGCACAGGCAGCAUCUGUGUUGAUUCCACACUGUUCCUGCCUUCCUCCUGGAGUAGGAAGGAUUCCAUGCUUUCCUUCAGAAAGAAACCAAAAUCUAUGCAAUAACAAGAGUCAUUGACCCUAAGGCAUUGCAGACUUCUAUCCAAUAGAAUCAGACCCAGUCAUGGUUCAAAGACUUGAGGAAACGGCAGGACUUUUGGAUAAUCUUCUCAAGCCCAGUGGAGGCUUUGCCUUGGGUGAUGGAUGGUGAGGAGCCACGUCAGUGGUUGAAUCAUUGCAUUAACACGUCAAGGCUCAGGCUUUCUAGCUGGCCAUUGGAACUGAGGAUGUCAUUAGUCUCUUAGCAAGGUUAACUUUGGGUAAUACGAAGAAAAGGGAUUAUGAACUCUUGGAAUCAGCAUUCACCUUCUUAGAGAAAGAAAAGAAGGCGAAGACGAAAAAGAGUGCCUCCGAUUCACGUUAGAGCUUUGAGUCCAAGAAUUGUAAACAUGUAUAGGCUGCCAAAUCUCACUCUAAAUAUAUUCCAAUGAUCUCAUGUUUUCAUAUGCAGUGGAAUAAAAAGAGGCAUUUUUAUUCAUUUUGGAUGACAGCAUCUUGAGCUUUUAUGGGAGUGUUGUAGGAGUAUUAGUUUAACCAAGAGCUGCAAUCAAUAUUUCAACCAUUCAGAGUCACCACAACAGGCACGUUAGACACUGAAUGACAAUUAUCUUGUCAUUGCAAGUUGGACCCUCAAACGUGUUCCCAAAUAUUGAUGGCAAAUCCCCCACCCCCAGGGGGAAAAUCCCCCAUCAAAGAUCCUCUGAGGAGAGCCAAGCGAGGCACUGGAGAGAGCAGUGCACAUAUUUCGAGGUGAUUAACAUUUCGGUUUUGGCCUCCUCAUCUGCAAGGGCUUCGUCUGUUACUCGUUUUCUCUUUGGCCAAAGAGACCACAUCCAGUGUCCCGAAGGAGAAGGCUGGAAAUUUUUCGGAAAGCCCUUUUAGGAGAAGCCCAGUGAGAGGGCAAGCAAAGCUUCAUUCCUUUUAUGGCCAAGAUCUCACAGUGUGAGACACAAAAAAGAGAGCAAGAGCAAGAGAGCUGGAGAGCAUGUUGUCUCUGUUCCUCUGCUCCCGGGGCUGUGGCGUCCACAUGGUCUCCAACCUUGAGCUGAACACAGUUGAUACAAAAACCAGGGACCCUUUCAGUGGCCCCUGGGGUGACGGGAGAGUCCAGCACCCCACUUCCCCUCACCCUCGGGGUUAGCCUUCACCCCGCUCUGGCAUCUUCGUCCCAGCCCUGCGUGCACAUAAAUCAAGCAGCAGGGUAGCUCGGAAACAUGACGAAUACCUUGGCUGGCUCCUGCUUGAAAAGACAAGGGGGGAGAAGAGGGAUUCUAAAGUAACCCGGCCUUGACUGGAAACGCAGCCAGAAUUUAGUGUUCCUGGAGCUGGCCCCAGCUGCUCAGACAGGAGCUGCCAGGGGAGACUUCCCUGGGGGCAGCCCCAGCCCUCCACGCUCUGGAGGAGGAAAAAGCUUUGGUGUCUGUCAAGAACAUUAUUCAAAAAUUCUUGGACACUUCUAAGCCCUUUCUGUGAGCAUGGAGACAGGGGGUUGAGGGAAGCUUUGCCUAGGCUGGGAUGGCACUUGGGUAUAGCCCCAGGUUUGAGUGCUGCUGUAUUCAUGGACAGUGCCCCAGAGGAAGAAGCACCGUGGGGACUCUCACUGCAAAGAAGACAGACCAUUAUCAACACUCCUCCCCUCUGUUCCCCAAAGUCCCCUCCUGACCGCAGCAUCAAUCUUCCACGCUGGCCGGCCGGAGGUGGUGCCUCUGGCAGAUUUAAAUGAGAGCAUGAAGGUGGGACCUCCAUUACUGGAUUAGUGUCCUUAUAAGAAGAGGAAGAGACCAGAGCUCACUCUCCCCACCACGUGAGGAUACAGUGAGAAGGUGGCUGUCUGCAAGCCAAGAGCCCUCACCCAAACAGAAUCUGCUGGUAUCUUGAUGUUGGAUUUUCUAGCCUCCAGGACUGUGAGAAAUAAAUGUGUGUUGUUUAAACCACCCAGUCUAUGGUAUUUUGUUAUAGUAGCUAGGGCUGACUACAACUGAAGUAGGCUAGAAGGAACUCUGUUAUCAUGAGCUCCAGGGAUGAGCUGUCUAUACACUUGUGCUGCAUCAGACAUGAAAGAGGAGUGGUGUGAGACUUGCUUUUCUGUGCAUCCUGUUUCAGAGCAAUAUAAAUUCAGUUCCUCUUAUCUUCCAGAAUCUUCUAGCACUUCUGGAAUCUAUAACAUAUGUCUGUAUGGAUAAUAGCACCUCUGGAAUUUGGGGACAAGGUCAAAGGGUGUCGGGAUUUGAAGGGGAAGCCAUAAGAAUCUUCACAAUAUAAAUUGAGAUUAAACACUUGCAGAUGCAACCCAUCCUUGGGGUGGUUUUGCAAACAUAUUGCUGAGGAUUUCAUGGUUUGCUACAUCAAGAUUAGAUACCCAAAGUUUAUUGGAAGAUUAAAUUACAAAAAGUAAUGACAAGGUAAGUUGUAAUAAGUCAUGUUAUUUGAUGAGAAGUAAAGAUAAUUAAAGGCAUGAAAGAGUCUGUAAGGAGCCUAGAAGAAGAGAGGUGAAGAGUAAGAAUCUAGCUAGUGUUUCCCCAGGGGUGUCAGGGAAUGGCAAAAAUGUUCCAGACUGUACCAACGAUCUGAGCCACACACUCCUGAAGACUUCUUUUACCCUGAUUCCUGUUUAACAAGUAGUUUUCUAAAUGCUAAUUCAGUUUUUCUGGUACACAGCAGAAAGGGGUCCCCUGCAUAGUAAUUAGAAAGGUGUGUCUCUGAUGGUACAUUACUUCAACUGGCAUGCUGGUUUUCCCGUCAGUCUACUAUGGGAGUUUGGUUGGCAAGAGUCCAUUCCUUGAGGCCUGGUCAACGUUGUGUGGGCUGAUUACAACAUGGGGUUUCUGAAACUUAAAAGUUAAGGGCCCGAUCUGGACCCAGGCCUCUACCAAGCCACAGAUGACCUUUGAGGCUCCGCUUGAUCAGGCAGCCAGCCAUGGAACAUCAUCAUGUGGCAACUCCACACCCACAGCUAUCAUGGCUCCCACUUGCGGACACAUUACUUUGUAUGUAUUUUGUCUUUCUUAAACAACUCCUUGCUCCCAUUUCUUCUCCCUCAAAUUGUGAGAUUUUCUGCUGCAGGGCCUUGUCUCUCCUCUUUCAUACAUUAAAUGUGUAAGAUCUUGACCACAGGGACACUCAAUAUAUUGAAUGACUUUGUUGGCAAAGAUAUUUGAAAAGAUGAUAGGUGCAAAUAUAAUUUAUUUAUCUUCUUUGGAAUCCAGCUGUAAAAUACAUAGUUAAAAUAGAAGCUAAAAUGUUCUGUUGUUUGAUCUUCAGCUUCUGUCUAAAUUGAAUUGACUCUCCAUCCCAUCCUACUUCCUUAGAGACAGACAAGAAACUCCUGUCACCAUGCUUUUCUGUACUCUGUCCUACGACUUUGCUUCCAUUUAAUUUGUCCUCUACUUGUCAUUAAGAUGUUAUUUGGGGCUGAUUAGAGUUUGCACCUGUUUCAGUUUAUUCCCAAUUAUAUAGUUAUAGGUAAUCAUUAUAGCCAGCCACCAUUAUGGAACUACAAACCUCUCAAUCAUCCUAUUACAGAAAAUUUGCUGAAUUGGAAAGUCAUGGUAACAGGCCAGGCAUGGUGGCACACACCUGUAGUCCCUGCACUCGAGUGGCUGAGGCAAGAGGAUUACUUG
Molecule: long non-coding RNA, 3872 nt
Filed under: Homo sapiens (human)
Lineage: Eukaryota; Metazoa; Chordata; Mammalia; Primates; Hominidae
Description: HSALNT0296783
Source: RNAcentral